CCUACGGGUGGCAGCAGUGGGGAAUAUUGGGCAAUGGGCUUACGCCUGAACCAGCAAAGCCGCGUGAAGGAAGAAUGCUCUCGGGUUGUAAACUUCGUUUCUCCGGGACGAAGCACGUGACGGUACCUGCGGAAUAAGCCACGGCUAACUACGUGCCAGCAGCCGCGGGCAUACGUUGGUUGCAAGUGUUAUCCGGAUUUACUGGGUGUAACGGGUGUGUUGGCGGGAAAGCAAGUCAGAUGGGAAAACCAUGGGCUCAACCUGUGGCCUGCCUUUGACACUGGUUUUCUUGAGUACGGGAGAGGCAGGCGGAAUGCGUAGUGUAGCGGUGAAAUGCGUAGAGAGUAGGAGGAACACCAGUGGCGAAGGCGGUCUGCUGGACAGCAACUGACGCUGAGGCGCGAAAGCGUGGGGAGCAAACAGGAUUAGAUACCCCAGUAGUC
Molecule: ribosomal RNA, 443 nt
Filed under: uncultured bacterium
Lineage: Bacteria
Description: partial 16S ribosomal RNA
Rfam family: Bacterial small subunit ribosomal RNA
Source: RNAcentral